This 450-nucleotide ribosomal RNA is filed under the name uncultured prokaryote. Its description in RNAcentral is "bacterial SSU rRNA". It matches the Rfam family "Bacterial small subunit ribosomal RNA", at positions 355 to 796 of the family's 1533-position model. The record is from RNAcentral.
UGGGGAAUCUUGCGCAAUGGGCGACAGCCUGACGCAGCAACGCCGUGUGUGCGAUGAAGGCCCUCGGGUCGUAAAGCACUGUUUACGGGAAAGAGGGGUUCGCUCGUUAAUAGGGAGCGGAUUUGACGGUACCCGUGGAGGAAGCACCGGCUAACUCUGUGCCAGCAGCCGCGGUAAUACAGAGGGUGCAAGCGUUGUUCGGAAUUAUUGGGCGUAAAGCGCGCGUAGGCGGUCAUUCAAGUCGGAUGUGAAAGCCCGGGGCUCAACCUCGGAAGUGCAUCCGAAACUGGAUGACUUGAAUCCUGGAGGGGGCAGUGGAAUUCCCGGUGUAGAGGUGAAAUUCGUAGAUAUCGGGAGGAACACCAGUGGCGAAGGCGACUGCCUGGACAGUGAUUGACGCUGAGGUGCGAAAGCGUGGGUAGCAAACAGGAUUAGAUACCCGGGUAGUCC